GAUGAACGCUAGCGGCAGGCUUAAUACAUGCAAGUCGUGGGGCAGCGCAGGUAGCAAUACUGGGCGGCGACCGGCAAACGGGUGCGGAACACGUACACAACCUUCCUACAAGUGGGGAAUAGCCCAGAGAAAUUUGGAUUAAUACCCCGUAACAUAACGAUGUGGCAUCACAUUGUUAUUAUAGCUUCGGCGCUUGUUGAUGGGUGUGCGGCUGAUUAGAUAGUUGGCGGGGUAACGGCCCACCAAGUCUACGAUCAGUAGCUUAUGUGAGGGCAUGAUCAGCCACACGGGAACUGAAACACGGGCCCGAAUCCUACGGGAGGCAGCAGUAAGGAAUAUUGGUCAAUGGACGAAAGUCUGAACCAGCCAUGCCGCGUGAAGGAUUAAGGUCCUCUGGAUUGUAAACUUCUUUUAUCUGGGACGAAAAAAGGCGAUUCUUCGUCACUUGACGGUACCAGAUGAAUAAGCACCGGCUAACUCCGUGCCAGCAGCCGCUGUAA
Molecule: ribosomal RNA, 500 nt
Filed under: uncultured bacterium
Lineage: Bacteria
Description: partial 16S ribosomal RNA
Rfam family: Bacterial small subunit ribosomal RNA
Source: RNAcentral